CCUGGGGAUGGGAGGACCAGCA
RNAcentral lists this microRNA (22 nucleotides) under Mus musculus (house mouse). RNAcentral's name for it is "mmu-miR-7005-5p". Lineage: Eukaryota; Metazoa; Chordata; Mammalia; Rodentia; Muridae. The record is from miRBase by way of RNAcentral.